Molecule: unclassified non-coding RNA, 262 nt
Filed under: Hevea brasiliensis (rubber tree)
Lineage: Eukaryota; Viridiplantae; Streptophyta; Magnoliopsida; Malpighiales; Euphorbiaceae
Source: RNAcentral
CUUUCUUGCCUAUCUCCGCGACCUCGUGACCGACCGCCGCGCUCACCCCGGUAACGCCGAACACGAUGUGCUGACGCGCCUGAUUCUGGGCGAGACCAGCGGCGAGAAGCUCAGCGAGAUCGAGCUGCUGCAAAACUGCAUUUUCAUCCUGAACGCGGGCCAUGAGACGACCACCAAUCUGAUCGGCAAUGGCCUCGNNNNUUCCGGACCAGCGGCAACGGCUGAUCGAUGAUCCCGCGCUGAUCAAGCCGGCGGUCGAGGA